GCCUGUGACCCAAUCAACUGGAAUGCGCCUGAUCUCAUCAGAUUUCGGAAGCUUGGCAGGCUACGCCUGGAUAAUGCUUGGAUGGGCAACCGCUGUGGAUAACAGGUGUCAUAAGCG
RNAcentral lists this ribosomal RNA (117 nucleotides) under Petromyzon marinus (sea lamprey). Lineage: Eukaryota; Metazoa; Chordata; Hyperoartia; Petromyzontiformes; Petromyzontidae. The record is from RNAcentral.